This 253-nucleotide ribosomal RNA is filed under the name uncultured bacterium. Its description in RNAcentral is "partial 16S ribosomal RNA". It matches the Rfam family "Bacterial small subunit ribosomal RNA", at positions 524 to 776 of the family's 1533-position model. The record is from RNAcentral.
UACGAAGGGGGCUAGCGUUGUUCGGAAUUACUGGGCGUAAAGCGUGCGCAGGCGGUGGCUCAAGCCAGGCGUGAAAUCCCCGGGCUUAACCUGGGAAUGGCGUUUGGGACUGGGUCGCUAGAGUGUGGCAGAGGGAGGUGGAAUUCCACGUGUAGCAGUGAAAUGCGUAGAGAUGUGGAGGAACACCGAUGGCGAAGGCAGCCUCCUGGGCCAGCACUGACGCUCAUGCACGAAAGCGUGGGGAGCAAACGGG